GACGAACGCUGGCGGCGUGCUUAACACAUGCAAGUCGAACGGUAAGGCCCUUCGGGGUACACGAGUGGCGAACGGGUGAGUAACACGUGGGUGAUCUGCCCUGCACUUCGGGAUAAGCCUGGGAAACUGGGUCUAAUACCGGAUAGGACCCUGGGAUGCAUGUCCUGGGGUGGAAAGCUUUUGCGGUGUGGGAUGGGCCCGCGGCCUAUCAGCUUGUUGGUGGGGUGAUGGCCUACCAAGGCGACGACGGGUAGCCGGCCUGAGAGGGUGACCGGCCACACUGGGACUGAGAUACGGCCCAGACUCCUACGGGAGGCAGCAGUGGGGAAUAUUGCACAAUGGGCGCAAGCCUGAUGCAGCGACGCCGCGUGAGGGAUGACGGCCUUCGGGUUGUAAACCUCUUUCAGCACAGACGAAGCGCAAGUGACGGUAUGUGCAGAAGAAGGACCGGCCAACUACGUGCCAGCCGCCGCGGUAA
This 478-nucleotide ribosomal RNA is filed under the name uncultured bacterium. RNAcentral describes it as "partial 16S ribosomal RNA". It matches the Rfam family "Bacterial small subunit ribosomal RNA", at positions 28 to 523 of the family's 1533-position model. The record is from RNAcentral.